UCUCGAUUGGUCUAGUGGUCAGGAUACCUGCUUGUCAUCUUCAAAUCGACAGUUGCGCAGGUGGCCGGGGUUCGAUUCCCCGAUCGAGAG
This 90-nucleotide transfer RNA is filed under the name Annulohypoxylon moriforme. Its description in RNAcentral is "tRNA-Asp". It matches the Rfam family "tRNA". From Rfam's summary of the family: Transfer RNA (tRNA) molecules are approximately 80 nucleotides in length. Their secondary structure includes four short double-helical elements and three loops (D, anti-codon, and T loops). The record is from RNAcentral. Lineage: Eukaryota; Fungi; Ascomycota; Sordariomycetes; Xylariales; Hypoxylaceae.